This 508-nucleotide ribosomal RNA is filed under the name uncultured bacterium. RNAcentral describes it as "partial 16S ribosomal RNA". It matches the Rfam family "Bacterial small subunit ribosomal RNA", at positions 28 to 523 of the family's 1533-position model. The record is from RNAcentral.
GAUGAACGCUAGCUACAGGCUUAACACAUGCAAGUCGAGGGGAAACGAUAGAGAAAGCUUGCUUUUUCUAGGCGUCGACCGGCGCACGGGUGAGUAACGCGUAUCCAACCUGCCCACCACUUGGGGAUAACAUCGAGAAAGUAAGACUAAUACCCAAUGAUAUCUCAAGAAGACAUCUGAAUGAGAUUAAAGAUUUAUAUGUGAUGGAUGGGGAUGCGUCUGAUGAGCUUGUUGGCGGGGUAACGGCCCACCAAGGCGACGAUCAGUAGGGGUUCUGAGAGGAAGGUCCCCCACAUUGGAACUGAGACACGGUCCAAACUCCUACGGGAGGCAGCAGUGAGGAAUAUUGGUCAAUGGGCGAGAGCCUGAACCAGCCAAGUAGCGUGCAGGAUGACGGCCCUACGGGUUGUAAACUGCUUUUAUAAGGGAAUAAAGUGAGUCUCGUGAGGCUUUUUGCAUGUACCUUAUGAAUAAGGACCGGCUAAUUCCGUGCCAGCCGCCGCGGUAA